RNAcentral lists this ribosomal RNA (253 nucleotides) under uncultured bacterium. Its description in RNAcentral is "partial 16S ribosomal RNA". It matches the Rfam family "Bacterial small subunit ribosomal RNA", at positions 524 to 776 of the family's 1533-position model. The record is from RNAcentral.
UACGGAGGGUGCAAGCGUUAUCCGGAUUCACUGGGUUUAAAGGGUGCGUAGGCGGGUUGGUAAGUCCGUGGUGAAAUCUCCGAGCUUAACUCGGAAACUGCCGUGGAUACUAUCAAUCUUGAAUAUCGUGGAGGUAAGCGGAAUAUGUCAUGUAGCGGUGAAAUGCUUAGAUAUGACAUAGAACACCAAUUGCGAAGGCAGCUUACUACACAGUUAUUGACGCUGAGGCACGAAAGCGUGGGGAUCAAACAGG